UCUCAGAUUUCUUUCCUCCAUACAUUUAAUUAAAAAUUAGUUUUUCAUUUUCUCUUUACAGGAAAAACUGUCAGCUACUGCAGAAUAGCUUGGAGAUAGGUAAUUUUCUGAGGAGGCACAAAAUAAAGGCCUGUAUCCCUGAAGUAGAGAAAUGUAUUUCUCUUACAGCUUGCAAGAUUCAGAAUAUACCUGAAGGAUGGCAUUGUGAAGACACUUACACAAUUGUCUGGCAUGAAAGUAAGAGAGUCUUCACCACUUUCUCCCAAGUAAAGCAAUCAAUUUCCACCAUCUUUCUGGAAAUGUCACUACCCUUGCCAGCUGAGAGCAUUCCUCUUGUCAAAAGAAAAAGGGCAGGGUUGUACUUCAUGAAUCAACAUCCACCAUUAUAUUCUAUGAAAUCAUCA
RNAcentral lists this long non-coding RNA (404 nucleotides) under Numida meleagris (helmeted guineafowl). Its description in RNAcentral is "lncRNA (ENSNMEG00000000102.1)". Lineage: Eukaryota; Metazoa; Chordata; Aves; Galliformes; Numididae. The record is from RNAcentral.